GGUGGUUCUUGGGUGACGCACCCCAGAAUCAGGCUCCCACUUCUCUGAUUCCGAGUGCAUUACGUGAGAACUGCA
Molecule: non-coding RNA, 75 nt
Organism: Myotis brandtii (Brandt's bat)
Lineage: Eukaryota; Metazoa; Chordata; Mammalia; Chiroptera; Vespertilionidae
Source: Rfam